CACAUUCUUAUUAGACAUGCUGUGAUUCACUCAAAUCUUCCUCUUCUGAGAGAAGAGGUUCAUCAGAUCAUUCCUCUCCUCCUCCUGCUAUUCUGAAGUGGACGUAUCUUUGCAUGGAGAAACAGAGGAUCAUUUAUUGUUAUUAUUAAGUAAAUAGUAUCACAAAUGUUGGGAGUCUCAGUUACUUGAAAUGGGUUUCCUUCCAAUGUUCUUAUCUCCAGUUUUGAGUUAUAGCCAGUUUCCACGUCACACGCCCACAAGCUGGACCAAUGUCUGGGGAAAUCGCUGGAUGAUAUUCCGCAUUAUGAUUGGAGCUGGUUUGAUAAAGAUGAGAGGUGGUACCUGUUAGAGGGACUUGACUUGUAUGACUAUCAU
RNAcentral lists this long non-coding RNA (375 nucleotides) under Amphimedon queenslandica. RNAcentral describes it as "uncharacterized LOC109590237, transcript variant X2". The record is from RNAcentral. Lineage: Eukaryota; Metazoa; Porifera; Demospongiae; Haplosclerida; Niphatidae.